CUAACCGCAGUCAACUACUUGGAAGUCCAGUGUCGUAACCAUUACACCAUCUGCUGGUCCCUAUUUUGGAUUUUUUUUUUUUUAAUACAAAUGAAAUACAUUAGAGGAAAUCAGCAGAGUUUUACCUUUGGGGUUAGCACAGGUACAGAGGCUGUGAAGGGCCUUGCUCUAAAGACAGACAGUAAGUUGCAUGACUGUCACAAGAACAGGGAAGUAAGGGGACCAAGCCCAGGCACUGUAGAGGCAGGAGGACUUGAGGAACUCAAGUGUUCCUGUGUGGAGACAGUGAGACUGCUGGGCAGAUGCUGGGCCAGCGUGGUACCCGCUGUCCACAACGUUCAGCUUCCCGUGCUCUUACAAGGUGGGGAAGUGCCACAGCAGGUUUACAUCCGUGCCCCUGGCAUUUUGGUGGCUCUCAGAGGAGAGACGGAGCAAGUACCAGACCCAGGAACAGCCAAGGGUAUGCUAGAAGACAGGCGGGACAAACGGGGGCCCGCUGAAAACACCUCUUUUCCACUUAGGACUGGAAAUGUCCCCAACACAUCAAGUGAGAUUUUUAACAGACCCAACAAAUAUGAUACAAUUAAAUACAUAUUUUCCAAAUGUCACAACUGCUUUUCUAGAAGAGUUUGUUGUUUCUUCAUCUGCUUAGGGGAAAGAAAACCAGGCAGUAGACUCUGAGACUUGUAGGCUCCAUUACUGUUUUGUGCUAAGCCAGCACCAUCUCGUACUAAAUUCUGGUAUAGACUAGCAGUUUUCACCACAAGGUAGUUCCAGCUGAGUCUCAUGACACACAAGGAGAAGACCAGCGUUACUCUAUUUUGGCAGCAGACAUUUUCAACACACCUCACAAAGCCGAGUCCCAGACCCAGAUGUGUGAGGAGAGCUGGAGUGGGUAUGACGCCGACCUCACGAGGUCUCUUGCAACCAUUGCCCUAGGGAUGCCUCAGCAAACGCACCAAGAAGAAUUCAAAGGAUUCCAGGACAGCACUGUUUGCAAUGGCCAGAAAACACUAGGAAUGACCCUGAAGCCAUCCACAGGAAAAUGGUUAAAAUAACUACCACUUACACAGUAUGCAUCACAUGAUUCCAUAUUAGGGCAGUUAGUAAUAGGAUAAAGUUGCUUAUGUUCUGGGAUGGAAAAUGUCUGAAGAGAUAUAAAUGAAGUUGUCAUUAGGAGUUAUCUGGUGGUUAGAGAAUUACAUAAAAGAACUUUUCUGUGUGGUCUUUUUCUGUAGUAUUUACAUUUUAAACACCAGACUAGUGAUUUAUAAAUUCUGCCACAAACAUAUACUCUACAGUCCCAUCUGCUACAACAGUAUGCACUAUAAAAACAUUAAGCAUAGACUUACCUAAACUGAAAAACUGUGGUCCCUUCAGGAGAGCUGGGCCAUGCAGGGAUACGCAGAGAAAGAAGCUGCAGUGUGACUCAGAGCAGAGCACUAGGUUGGGCAUCCUCAGCAGUCUCAUAACGUGAGAAUUUAAAAAGCUACAUCUUGGAAAAACUGUCCAUUAUGUUCCUUGGAUCUGGGACUCCUAUCAGCAUUCGGUCCAUAGAUGUCAAAUUCACACACAGAUGACAAGACUCUAUUGUGCCAAUCAAAGUCUCAGUGGGACACUGUGCAUACUUGACAGAUCAAAGAAAGCAACUGGCAGAAGUUCAACAGCUCCGCACACCGAGCUGAGCCGUGGAAGAGGAUAGGGCAGACAGACACUCUCAUACUCAGGUAUGCAGUUUGUGCGCUCGCUCUGAGGGCGACAGAGCAGAAUGUAUGACCCAGCAACUCCACCUCUGGGUACCUGCCCUAAGAAACGCUCAUUCAUGUACUGUGCACAAGUGGUUGUAUAUGAUGAUCACACAGCACUGUGUGUAAUACCAAAAAACUAGAAAUAGCAUACAUCUUCAUCGAUGGCAGACUGGUUAAAGAACUCAUGCUAUACCCAGGGUAAGACAGACUAUGCAACGGUUUAAAAGGAUGAGAGCAGUUCUAUAUGUAUUCACAUUAAGUUCACUAUUAUUAAAUGAAAAAAAAAAUAAAGUCAAUAAUAACAUAUAGUAUAUCAUAAUAUUUUAUCAUUUACAUAGAGAGGAUAAAGAAAACAAUGUGAUACCUCUUUUAAGAGGAAUAUAAACGAGCAGAAAAAGGUCUAGCAGGAAACAGCACAUAGGUAACACCAGGUAGGGAGGGGAUUGCCAACACUGUCAGUCCUGUUUUCAUUCUGCAUAAUAAGAAAGCAUCCGCUUAUCACUUUUAACUGAGUACUGCAGAAGAGAUGCCACCAGCUGCCCUCGAUGGAGAACUGAGUUAACUGUGUUAAAGUCACAUGACAGACUCAGGCAAGCAAACCAAAUGAACUGUACACCAGGCCAAGGAGGCAUUUCGACAUCAUACUAAAUAAGAAUAUUUUAGAAGAUGACAUUCAACAUAAUAACUUUUCUAUAAAGUUAAAAACUUGUUAAAAUAUAUUUUGAAAAACACACUCAGGAAAAAAAAAAUUUUUUAAAGCUUUAUGAAAAAGAAGCAAGAGAAAGACAAAGCCCGGAUUCAGGAUGAUGGUUACCUCAGCUCACAGGGAGGAAACCACAGAGGUAGGGGGAAGUUUUUACAUUGGAUAGGAGAUUCAGAAAUGCUUACCACAUUCUUAAAAACAAUCGAAAAAGAAAAUAAAAUAGGGUCAUACUAAAACAUGAACCAAAGAGUAGGUUAACCCAGUUUUGUGUACUCAAGUCCCAACAAGAAGAAUAUUCCUGCCUUAAGAGGAGUAUCCUAGCUCUUGCUUACUACAACAGUGGAUAGUGGCAGUCAUUAAAAGUCAUUGCAUUUGAUUAGAAACAACACAACAAAAACUAGAGCCCAAAAUUUCCAGAAAUAGAUCUAGGCAGAUCAGUAUUAUAAGGAGCUAAUACUGACUGACAUGUAGCAAAAGAGGAAAGAGUAUUUACUCAAUAAAAGCUUGCUAUUUCAAAGUUAGCUGUGUAAAUAGCUUAAGUGAAGAGUAUUUAUUGUAAUAGUGAAAAUACAUACUUUUUUUAAAGAAUUAUUUUAUUUAACUUUACUUAUUUUAAUUUGACGAGAGAGAGAGAGAGAGCGAGCGCAAGCCAGCUGCCAGGUCUGGGACUCGAACCAUGAUUGGCCAUGUGGAAGUCCAGUGCCCUUAACCACCAUGCCACUUGCCAGCCCCACAGACACAUUUUUAGCUACUAAAGAAUAGGUAACUAGAAGCAAAUCCAAUAGACUUAUCAGUUAUUAUUACUAGCCAUCUUAGACUAAUUUUUAAAGUCCUUGCAUGAUAGUUUCUUUUUUGCACCAAUAAAAAAAAAAAAUAUAUGUUUGAUUACCGUAACUGGCAUAAAGCUAACGUUCCCACUAUACAAAAAAUCAUUAUCAUUAUAAAAGUCAAUAUAGAAAUUUCACAUGGUAAGAGGUCAGAGAGGGAAAAAUCCAUAUGGUAUAUCAAGUAAUACAGUGGGGCUAACUGAUAAUUAGAGAAAUAUAGACGACAACAACUAAAAUACUUUAAGAAGAAGAAAUAUUUUAUAACAUUUCACUUGGCAAGGAUUUUUUGACACCAAAUGCAUAGGUAUGACCCCAAUAAACACGAAAAUAAAAUACAUCAAAACUAAAAACAUGCAUCAAAUGACAUAAUCAACAGUGAAAAAGCAGCCUGAUAGGAUGGUAGAAAAUAUUUCAAAUCAUAUGUUGGAUGAGAGGGUUAGUAUCCAGAAUAAACUCCUCGAGUCAACGACAAGACACUUCAAUUUUUAAAAUGGGUAAAAGAGACUAGAAUACACAUUUUUCCAAAGAAGAUGUACAAAUGUCACUGAGCAUAUGAAAAAAUGUUUGACGUCAUUAAUCACUAGUGAACUACAAAUCAAAACCACAAAGAAAUAACGCCACACACAUUAGGAUGGCUACUGUUAAAAAGGAAAAAAAGGCAGAACAGGGUUGGCAAGGACGGGAAAACUUGAACCCAGGUGCACUGUUGGUGAGAAUUCAAAUGGUACGCCUGCUACGAAAAACAGUGUGGCAGUUUCUAAAAAAAUGAGAAAUACCGUAUGGUUUGCCAAUAUCACUUGUAGCUAUGUAUCCAAAAGAACUGAAAGCAGCAUUUCAAAAAGAUAUCUGUACACUCACAUUCACAGCAGCAGUAUUCACAACAGCCAAGAGAGGACACACACCAGCUUUUCCAUGAGAGACGAGGAGAUAAACAAAAUACGAUAUACACAAACAAUGGGAUAUUACUCAGCUCCCGUGAAAAGGAGGUUCUGACACACUGUAAUGACAUAGAUGAACCUAUGUAUUCACAGAAACGUGAAUGCACUUAACACUACCAAACUGCACACUUCGAAAUGGUUACGGUAGUAAAUUUUAUGCAUGUAUUUUACCAUACAAUAUUUUUCAACUAGCCACAAGUACAAUGGAAAAAACCUGACAUUAGUGACUACGUGGGGAAAUGGGUAUAUAAUCAUAAGAAGUAUACAUACGUUUUCUGGAGGAGAAUCAUGCGUCUGUGAUGAGAGCUAUAACAAACCAUGUAUGCUCAAUGACCAGGGACUAGUACUCCGGAGAAUAUGUAUGUAUGCCAAAUUUAUAGAUGCUCACCGCAGCAAAAUUUAAAAUUGUCAAAACACUGUUUUAACAGCGUAACAGACUGGCUGAAUGAAUACCCUGUAGUAUAAGCACAGUGGGACUGAACAGUGACAUCAUUCACUUAUGAUCUUUUUCAAUCACGCAUCUCUUUGCCAAACUGGUGAGAGUUGUGCUUUCCACAGGAAAACACACACAUACACCUCAGACAGAGCAUGCAGACUUCUGGAUGCCAAUCCAUGGAGUUCUUUGGGGAGCAUUAACGACCCUAAGAAAAGCCACUUCAAAAGUGUUUGUGGACUCUGCUGAUACAGGGAAAUGUUAGUGAAAACAAAAUUAAAUAUAAAAAUAGAACAGACAGAAUAUGCACGGGUUCUCACUGCCUUAAGCAGCCCAGAGCGAGGUGGGCAGGCAGGUAGAGAAUGGGGAGAGGGAGUCAGGAGGAAAUGGCUAGACCUAAUGCUGGGCAACGAAGAACAGAAAGAGAGAGAGGAGACAUCACUGGAAGCGCUCGAUAAAACAUAGCUGUGUGCCAAACACAUACGUUCAUUUACCCCCGUCUCACAGAUGAGGAAAACAGGUUCAGAGAGGUUAAGUAACUUGCUCCAGUCAAAAGUGGCCAAGCAGUCAGGAUUAGAACCUAGACCCAUUGCCAUGGGUCCAAACCAGUCAGAUGAGGAAGGAGGAUUCUAAGAGAAUCCCAUUCUGGAGAACACACUGACCUGCCCCCAAGGUCUUCUCCAGUGAACUAUCCCUUUGUGACAGCCCUCAUGCAGACAAACUCUGCCAUUCUAUUGUCCCCUUUGGCCCCGGGAAAGCAGGCACUGGGAGAGAGUAAGGCCUGGGGGCUCUGAGAGGCCGUGGGUCCCCCACUUCCAGACUCCAUAAUAAACGCCAGUUGGAGCACAGGUUUAAAGGCAAAACACGGAAACGCACACAUGUCAUGAGAAAAUACAGAUUAAUAUUUAGAUAUGGUAGGGGGAUGGGAACAUAAACAUCACAGUUGAACAUGGUGAUAAACCUCAUAAAAAUUGUAUACUUCUUGUAUCUGACACAUAAUACAAAUUAAAAGGCAAUCAAGUGCCAGUUCCGUGGCAGAGAAGUAACAAGGAAAGCCAGAUCCCACAACGCAACUGUCGUUCAAAUCCCCAGCACCGUCAGCCAGAAACGUGCUAUGCACAUGCUUGCGUGUACAAAAUCCGAGGGAUAAAGGACUGGAGGAAGGGAUGUCACAGCGUGACCAGGCCUGGCGGAGAGUGACGUUUUCACUCUCUCUCAUGUGUGCAUACAUGCACUCUACUAUGAAGAAAGGAAAAAUAUAUGCAUGUCAGCUCUAAUAGGAUUACUAAUAUCUUUAAUAUGUAAAUAGAUUUGACAAAACCACCAGUGGAAAAUGAGCAAUUAGGAAGCGGAAAAUCAUACACACACACACACACCACACAAACGUUCAGUCAACAUGUGGGAAGGAUGUUCGAUAUCCAGCAGGCGAAACCAGGCUCCUGUCCACAGGUAAAGUAGGCUACACAGACAAAGUAUAGAUGAACAGAUAUGCCAGAAACAAAGGUUUUCCAUAUAAUGAUAUGCGUUCUGAGGAAAAGGGAGUAAGAGUCAGAUUUGCCUCACUAGUGAGACCACUAAAGUAGAAAAUCACAUUGGGCAAUAUGGACCUAAAGUCGUAAGAGGCUUGAUACAGUCAUUUCCUUCUAUAAAUGUAUUUGUAUAUUCCGAGGAAACAAACGUGAUUAAGUUUGAGCUACCAAGAAGGUCAUCACUACCAAGAAGGCAUUAUUUCCUAAGAGGAAAAUCCUGGGAAAUAACUUGUAUGUCUACUAAACAAGAGCGUUUAAAAUGAUAUAGCCAUACAAUGGAACACGAUGCCACCACUGAAAAGAUGCUUACGAAUGACAAAAACAAGGGGUUCACUGUGUAUUAAAAGAGUUGUGAAACAGAAUUGCCAAUAUCCCAUUUUUUAAUAAAAAUGCACUCAUUCUAUGCAACAAGGAGUAGUGGGAAGGGGGACUCCUGAAGUGAAUAGACCAAUCAUUAAUGGAAGUUUUUUUCCUCAGGUUUCUCACAUGCAAACCAGUAAAUCAUUUUUACACAGGGGAACUCAAUGGAGAAUUUUUUAAAAGAAAAAAUAAAUAAGUCCAAGGCUGAAGGGCCUGGGAGGUGCCAGCCCUCAGCAGGUACAGGCCAGGAGCUAGGAUUCACUCAGGCAGAGUCCUCCUUGGGACUUGAACCUUCACAUCUUUUUGGUUUUCAUUUUACUAUCUUUCCCUUGUCAUUUCCAGCCUACAGCAGUAUAGUUUUGUGUCAUGAAUGUGAAAAAGGUCAACACACCAUAAAUACCUAUAAGCCUGCUUUGGCAUUUCCACAUGCGUUACUAGCACCACACUGUAAGGAAUUCUAUGAAAGGCCAGGCAAAGGUUAACGCCUCCUCCAGAGACUCCGCUUACACACACAGAAGUUGGUCCUGAUAUUAAAGUACCUUGGAGUCUCGGAAGCCACAGUGGGUAACACAAACCAAGGGCAGCCAGUGAGGCCAGUUACUGCCAACCGUCUGUUUGUACCAUACGUCAUUUCUGUGUCCAACCCAGGCUUAUGGAAAAGCCUUAGCCAACACUCACUGCCAGGCUAGCUUCCUUUUUAAAAAAGCUUCCCGUUGAAUUUCGGCUAUUCUUAUGCUCCACUACUUUAAAUUUGCACAAGAUCACUACGAACCCACUUACUGAGUUCCACAUAUCAUCCCCUGCCCCCUGGAAGGGCUGAAUUCAGACCGAUGCACGAGGAAGGUAGCAUCACCAGCGUCAUCAACACCAGAGCCUGCCUACUGUACCUGAAGGUGGUGAGUUCACCCUCCAGCUGCCGGCCUCAUUCCGUAACCAUCUCAUAGCCCCAUUUCAUAACCACUUGAAAUAUCAAUCAUUUAUACUUCCGUAGAUGAAUUAUUUUUUCAUAAGCCACAGUUGUUGGGAAACAGAGUAUGACAUCCAUGGGGCACUUUCAACCAUUAUCUCAAGGUAGGGAGCAAGAGUUUUUCAAUCAUCACAGAAAAGGGAGAAACAGAGUCCUGAAAAGGACAAGGCAGGUAGAAGGGAGUUGGGAUAAAAAGCAAAGAGAGAGAAGCUAGGAAAGGAGGCCUACUUGAUCCUGGGUUAUUUGAGGGAAAGGGUUUUGAGCAGGGUGAGGGUCCUGAACACGCACACAGCAGUGCCCACUCCUGGCGGAGCCGCGGCAGAGGCUUUUAACUCAUUUCCCAGUACUGUACACGUGAGGGCUCCCCAAGGAACAAGGGUGGGCAUGCAAGACACACUAUCAGCAACCAGCCCAGCAAAGCCAGGAGAGGAGGAGCCCUUCAGAUCUUGCUUCCCCGCCUUCUGUUCUGGUCCCCACCAGGCCUGUUCCAGUUCAGGUCUUACUUCCCCCUCCCCGGGCAAGCAGGCCCCAUUAAACAGAGCAGCACCAGCUUCCUGGAAACAAGCAACUUCCUCUUCAGCAGAGGGCUGGCAGCAUCUAGUCCAAGUUUUUAUUUUAUGAGGUAAAACUGUAUAGCCCCAAACCAGUAACACAGAGCAGAACUACAGAACAGUUUCCAGGAUGAAACACGCUGUCAUUUCCCUCAACCCAAACAUAGAAUCAAA
Molecule: long non-coding RNA, 8230 nt
Organism: Tupaia belangeri chinensis (Chinese tree shrew)
Lineage: Eukaryota; Metazoa; Chordata; Mammalia; Scandentia; Tupaiidae
Exons: 2
Source: RefSeq, a predicted model, not a curated record